RNAcentral lists this transfer RNA (64 nucleotides) under Plectrocnemia sp. 1 YW-2021a. RNAcentral's name for it is "tRNA-Asp". The record is from RNAcentral. Lineage: Eukaryota; Metazoa; Arthropoda; Insecta; Trichoptera; Polycentropodidae.
UAAAAAUUAGUUAAAAAAUAACAUAAAUUUGUCAAAUUUAAAUUAGAAAUUAAUCUAUUUUUAU